ACAUCCAGAGAACUUAGCAGAGAUGCUUUGGUGCCUUCGGGAACUCUGAGACAGGUGCUGCAUGGCUGUCGUCAGCUCGUGUUGUGAAAUGUUGGGUUAAGUCCCGNAACGAGCGCAACCCUUAUCCUUUGUUGCCAGCGGCUCGGCCGGGAACUCAAAGGAGACUGCCGGUGAUAAACCGGAGGAAGGUGGGGAUGACGUCAAGUCAUCAUGGCCCUUACGGCCGGGGCUACACACGUGCUACAAUGGCGCAUACAAAGAGAAGCGACCUCGCGAGAGCAAGCGGACCUCAUAAAGUGCGUCGUAGUCCGGAUUGGAGUCUGCAACUCGACUCCAUGAAGUCGGAAUCGCUAGUAAUCGUAGAUCAGAAUGCUACGGUGAAUACGUUCCCGGGCCUUGUACACACCGCCCGUCACACCAUGGGAGUGGGUUGCAAAAGAAGUAGGUAGCUUAACCUUCGGGAGGGCGCUUACCACUUUGUGAUUCAUGACUGGGGUGAAGUCGUAACAAGGUAGGCGUAGCGAG
This 525-nucleotide ribosomal RNA is filed under the name uncultured bacterium. Its description in RNAcentral is "bacterial SSU rRNA". It matches the Rfam family "Bacterial small subunit ribosomal RNA", at positions 984 to 1509 of the family's 1533-position model. The record is from RNAcentral.